Long non-coding RNA from Populus nigra (black poplar), 856 nucleotides. RefSeq lists it as uncharacterized. The transcript is spliced from 2 exons. Lineage: Eukaryota; Viridiplantae; Streptophyta; Magnoliopsida; Malpighiales; Salicaceae. The record is from RefSeq and is a predicted model, not a curated record.
CGACGACCACCACCACCAUUAAUAAGAGAUUAAUGAUUUUAAUAAUAGUGAUUAUGAUGUUAGAUGGGAAAACUGAUGAGCCAACAUGGGGCAUGUUCUAAUUUAUGAAGUAGGAAAGGUAGAGUUUUGGUAGGAGGAUGUUACAUGCCUCCAUUAAUUCAUCAAUUUCAAUUUUAUUAUGUGGAUUUAGCUUGUUUUCUUCAUCUUGAUGAUCCUACAUGUUAUUCAUAAUGUAUCGAGAUCAAAACUUAACUAUAAUGAUAUGGGAUCCUAGGAGAUAGCCAUCCCAUUGUAUUGUACAAGACUCAUCAAGCCUCCCGAUUGAAUCAAAAGAAAAACAAACGAUUAAAGGUUAUAAUAACAGUGCACAAUGAGAUAACUGGGAAGAAGAUGGUCUGGUCUGCCCAUGUUAUCUUAUUUCAAGAGAAAGAAAAGCCACCACAAAGCCCUACCAGCUGAAUAUUCUAUCUUGACAAGCAUCAGACUUCCACAGCUCUUGCAGCAUUUCUAGCCUUUCCACUGAAAAAGAAGAAAAGGAGCUUAACGUGCAAAGAGAAACUAAACGAUAGAGCAGAUCAAUUUGGAGAUAGUGCUGCUAAAAGUAAACUGCAAUUUGCUUCAACAUCGACAAUGACCCGGGAGAGACUGACCGACGAUAGACCACCUAAAGCACCUAAAAGAGGAGUGCAAAACAGGUAACAUCAGUGUCAGAUCAAUGAAACCCUAGUAUCUGAGCUUGCAAUCUUCUCCAUGCAGCUCUCAUCAUUCUGUAACUUUUAGAAAUCUUGUAGCAACUACGUAUUCAAGUUUAAACAAGAGGACGAACACCACUUACAAACACAAGGAGAUUUAACCA